This 497-nucleotide ribosomal RNA is filed under the name uncultured bacterium. Its description in RNAcentral is "partial 16S ribosomal RNA". It matches the Rfam family "Bacterial small subunit ribosomal RNA", at positions 28 to 507 of the family's 1533-position model. The record is from RNAcentral.
GAUGAACGCUGGCGGCGUGCCUAAUACAUGCCAGUCGAGCGAACAGACGAGGAGCUUGCUCCUCUGACGUUAGCGGCGGACGGGUGAGUAACACGUGGAUAACCUACCUAUAAGACUGGGAUAACUUCGGGAAACCGGAGCUAAUACCGGAUAAUAUAUUGAACCGCAUGGUUCAAUAGUGAAAGACGGUUUUGCUGUCACUUAUAGAUGGAUCCGCGCCGCAUUAGCUAGUUGGUAAGGUAACGGCUUACCAAGGCAACGAUGCGUAGCCGACCUGAGAGGGUGAUCGGCCACACUGGAACUGAGACACGGUCCAGACUCCUACGGGAGGCAGCAGUAGGGAAUCUUCCGCAAUGGGCGAAAGCCUGACGGAGCAACGCCGCGUGAGUGAUGAAGGUCUUCGGAUCGUAAAACUCUGUUAUUAGGGAAGAACAAAUGUGUAAGUAACUAUGCACGUCUUGACGGUACCAAAUCAGAAAGCCACGGCUAACUACGUG